GAUAGAAUGACCGAGGUUAGGUGUUAAAUUGUAAAUUUAUUUACGGAGUUUCUCCUUCUAUCA
Molecule: transfer RNA, 63 nt
Filed under: Histeroidea sp. 1 KM-2017
Lineage: Eukaryota; Metazoa; Arthropoda; Insecta; Coleoptera
Description: tRNA-Tyr
Source: RNAcentral